UUGGAAUAUAGGACACAUUGAAAUUCGAAUUGGUUUUCGUGGAAGAAAAUCGAUCUGCACGAAUAUAUACGUACGAUACAUAAGUUGAACUUAUUAUAAGUGGAUUAGAUUUCCAAGAUUUCUAACAAUAUCUGAAAUUGUAAUUCGAGAUUUUCUAAUUAUUUUAGAAGAUUUAUCAUGAUUCUUGAUUCUAAAAUCUAGCAAGAAAUUAAUGAAAGAUUCGAUGCAUUAAUAAACGAUUAAGAAAACUUCAGAUCCUGGAAAAUACCUGGAACCAGAAUUUUAUAUUUUAACUUGAAGUGAGCAUACGCACAACAAAAUUGAUUCCAAGAUUUCUAGCAUAUCCACUUAUACAAAAAAAGACACAAAGAAAAUUCAAAAAUUCACAUUUCUCGAUCUUAGAAACCAGAAUAUCUUUGUCUUAACAACUCCACCCGAAAUUGAUAUCUAAAAAAAUUGAUCCAAUUGAUUCCAAGAUUCAUAGAAUAUCCACUUAUACAAAAAAAGACACAAAGAAAAUUCAAAAAUUCAAAUUUCUCGAUCUUAGAAACCAGAAUAUCUUGUCUUAACAACUCCAUCCAAAAUUGAUAUCUAAAAAAAUUGAUCCAAUUGAUUCCAAGAUUCAUAGCAUUAUAUAUUAAUAACUUAUACAAAAAAAGACAAAGAAAAUUCAAAAAUUCAAAUUUCUCGAUCUUAGAAACCAGAAUAUCUUAUCUUAACAACUCCAUCCGAAAUUGAUAUCUAAAAAAAUUGAUUCCAAGAUUCAUAGCAUAAAUUCACUUAUACAAAAAAAGACACAAAAAAAAUUCAAAAAUUCAAAUUUCUCGAUCUUAGAAACCAGAAUAUUUUAUCUUAACUUCACCCGAAAUUGAUAUCUAAAAAAAUUGAUCCAAUUGAUUCCAAGAUUCAUAGCAUAUAUCCACUUUUUUAUUCAAAGAAAACACAAAGAAAACUUUAGAUUUCCUUAAAUUCUAGAAUUGAAAUAUUUUAACUAAGAAAAACAUACAUACAAUUCCGAUAUUUCGAUCCAAAAACGUCGCGCCUACGAAGAGAGGGUUAUCCCGUUCUUCGCUCGUCCUUUCGUCCCCUGCUUUGGCAGGCGACGCGCCGGUAGAGGCACAAGCGGAGAGAAAAAGAGAAAGAAGGAAAGAGAGCAAGAGAGAGAGGGAGAGGGAGAGGGAGGGAGGGAGUAGGCGGCGGGCGAAGGCAGUGGGUGCCUCCAUGUUAUGCAGCCCCACCACCGCCUCUAUCCUGACCAACCGGCUGUUUACUGUUUGGCCUCCCGGGAUAUCGAUCCCAGUAGCGUAAGAACCGGCAGCCUAGGGCCACCGAGAGAUCGGCACACGUCGAGCAUUUCGUCGCGUCGACGGUUGCCAACCGAGAGACGACCGAACCUCCGAAUCUCCCUCUCUCCCUUCCUCCUCCUUCCUCCCCACCCGCUAUCUCCCUCUCUCUCUCUCUCUCCGAUUUCUCCCCUCUUUUUUUUUUUUUGUUUUUUUUUAUCACGCUGCAGACCGUCGUCCGCGAAUCGACGACUUCGAUUCUGAACUGCCCCUAAUUGGGGAUACCGUUAGUCCAUCGAAGAAGAAGAAGAAGAGGGCCACUUGACCCCGCGAGAUCGAUUCGCGACUUUGAGUUACGCGUUUCUCAGCGCCUAAGGAGGAACGAUACGUAACGUAUCCUCGACGCGCCAGAUGGUUUGUGGGGGAAUGAACGAGGCUUGCAACAUCGGGAAAUUAGAUACCUCGAGGAGAGCGAGAACUGGUUUUUGGGGGAUGUGCGUGAGGAGGUCAGGUGGAUGGGAGGUGGAUACCUGGGAUUGGGAAGGGAAUAAUCGUUUAUGAGAGCGAUGGAACGAUGUAUUUUUGGGAAGAUCGAAGUUAUGUAUUCGAAUAUUUUGAUACAGGAUGAUAAUGAGGAAGGGGGAGAUAGUUGUUUCGUGGAGAUUUUCUUCCGUGGAAGAAGAAUUCGAUGGAAGGAUUUAAAAAUAUUGGGACAGGAUUUUAAUAUACCGAUAUCGUAUAAAUAUAAAAAGCCAUAAUUUUCACGCAGUAUGUAAAAAUUAUCUGGAGAAGGGAAAGGAGUCGUUAAUUAAAAUCGUAUAAUCGUAGGAGCAGGAUCAGAGGUGAAGAAGAGGAAGAGGCGUUUAUCGAGAGGAACGGGAUGAUAUGUUGAGAAACGGAAGCAGGAGCAGCCAUUGUUGUGCUAAGAGGGUCGAAGAAUGAAUCUUGCCGCGAAUAGAUUUCGGCUUGGGAUUAAGCCGUCCCACUUUCGAUUCCAUUCGAUGGCAUCGUCGCUGCCGCGACUUUAUUGUGCCCGCCACUUCGGAAUAACCUUCGUCGCUGCCAGGCCUCGCAAUUUCCGCACGUGUGGAAUUUUUUCGAAUAUCCAGACGGAUCGCAAGGCACAAUAUUUUAACGUUUUAAAACGAACUUUUCCCACGUCACCGCGAGUCGAGGGUUGCGAUAUCUCCACUCCUACAUCCACCACCACUCGUCGCGACAAAGGGAGACCUACAUUCCGAGAAAUAAAAAUGGAACGGUUCGUCUUGAUCUUUCAUUGUCCGGGCUAUUGUUUCGUAGGAUUUCUAAUCGUUCGUUUUUUUCGACUCGAAGAAAAUAAUAAUGGGAUUACUUUAAUCGAUAUUUAAUCGAGAUAUAAAAGAUGUAUUAGCAAAAAUUAAUAAACGGAUUACUAUUUCUUUUGGAAUCUACAACUCGUUUAAUUAACUACUUAAAAUUAAAAUUUUAAUAUAAUCGAAAGUUCGAAACCCGGAUGAUUUUACACGGCGCAUGCCCGAAAAGAUGUCCUAUGCGGAUGAUCUUCGACUUGUAUCGGUACACGUGUUCCGCAGCGUGUCGAACACGCGGUAUCAGCGAUGCAAUCUUUCGAUCCUUCGCAUCCGCGCCCAAUUCUCUUCGCUACUCAUGUUCCCUGGACGAUACCUCAAGUACGAUACGCAAUUAUCAUUUCGCACGGAUCAAACUCAACUGAUCCGUUGACUAUUGAUGAAAGAAAAUUCAAUUUUUCAUUGGAAUUAAAAAAUGAAAUUAGUAAAAUCUAUAAAUCAAAGUAUUAGAGAGAUAUGAUGAAGAUUAGAGAUCUGUAAAUCUUCAACAUUUGUCCAAAAACCACUGGUUGGUCACUGAACCGCGAAACUGGGUCAUUCGAGCAUCAAACGUCACGGCUGGUUAAUUCAACGCGAAAAAACAAAGGCGACUUAUUGUUUUCCUUGGUUCUUUGAAGUCCGUCCAAAUUAGUUUAAUUGAUCUUAAGAUAAAAAAAAAA
Molecule: long non-coding RNA, 3288 nt
Filed under: Apis mellifera (honey bee)
Lineage: Eukaryota; Metazoa; Arthropoda; Insecta; Hymenoptera; Apidae
Description: uncharacterized LOC102656698
Source: RNAcentral